This 253-nucleotide ribosomal RNA is filed under the name uncultured bacterium. RNAcentral's name for it is "partial 16S ribosomal RNA". It matches the Rfam family "Bacterial small subunit ribosomal RNA", at positions 524 to 776 of the family's 1533-position model. The record is from RNAcentral.
UACGGGGGGAGCAAGCGUUGUUCGGAAUUAUUGGGCGUAAAGGGCGCGUAGGCGGUGCGGUAAGUCUCUUGUGAAAUCUCCGGGCUCAACUCGGAGCCUGCAAGGGAAACUGCCGUGCUUGAGUGUGGGAGAGGUGAGUGGAAUUCCCGGUGUAGCGGUGAAAUGCGUAGAUAUCGAGAGGAACACCUGCGGCGAAGGCGGGUUGCUGGGCUGACACUGACGCUGAGGCGCGAAAGCUAGGGGAGCGAACGGG